This is a non-coding RNA of Acanthosepion pharaonis, 113 nucleotides long. The record is from the annotation of a GenBank genome assembly. NCBI's taxonomy places the organism in Eukaryota, Metazoa, Mollusca, Cephalopoda, Sepiida, Sepiidae.
UUAUGGCCAUAUCACAUUGAAACACUGGUUCCAGUAUGAUCACCGAAGUUAAGCAACAUCAAGCCUGGUUAGUACUUAGAUGGGUGACUGUUUGAGAAUACCAAGUGUUGCAA